GGUCCUGUGGUGUUCGUGGUUAUCACGUCUGCUUUACACGCAGGUCGCCGGUUCGAUCCCGGCCAGGACCU
This 71-nucleotide transfer RNA is filed under the name Necator americanus (New World hookworm). It matches the Rfam family "tRNA". From Rfam's summary of the family: Transfer RNA (tRNA) molecules are approximately 80 nucleotides in length. The record is from Rfam by way of RNAcentral. Lineage: Eukaryota; Metazoa; Nematoda; Chromadorea; Rhabditida; Ancylostomatidae.